CAUCAACUUCAAAAUUUACAUCAGUUCCCCUUCCACUUUCUAAAAUCCUUCCAAAAUGAUGACCGAUAUCAGAGGGUGGCACUCCAAUGGCAUAGGUCUUUGGUCCCUCAGUCUGGGAUUUAACUACACCAACACAACAGCGAAUUACCAAGGUAUCAUCUUUGAGAUAAUCUGAUGUCUCUAGUUGAGUUCUUUUGAAAAAUCGUUUAUAGCCCCACAUACUGCCGCGAUAUUUCAGUGUGUAAGGCCCACUCUCAAGAGCUCUCCCGAAAUGGCUAUGAACCUUAUGGUUUUCUUUUCCACUCUGAUCCAUCAGCGAGAGCUCAAACAAUGCCCUCACGUCGGUGCCUUCGCUUGCGAGGGCUAUAAAUAAGGACACAUAGGCAGCGUUAUCUUCAGGGCUCUUUCCAUCAGGAUAAAAGUAGAUUGCCCACGCGUACCCACCAACAAUGAACGUAUCCGAUGCUGUGUACUUUCCAAUUCCGAUGCCCUUCGAUAAAGAGUAGCCGCCGAUUUUGAACUCGUGAGAUCCAUUUAU
Molecule: unclassified non-coding RNA, 538 nt
Filed under: Hevea brasiliensis (rubber tree)
Lineage: Eukaryota; Viridiplantae; Streptophyta; Magnoliopsida; Malpighiales; Euphorbiaceae
Source: RNAcentral